CAGUAGCCGCGGUAAUACGAAGGGGGCUAGCGUUGUUCGGAUUUACUGGGCGUAAAGCGCACGUAAGCGGACUUUUAAGUCAGGGGUGAAAUCCCGGGGCUCAACCCCGGAACUGCCUUUGAUACUGGGAGUCUUGAGUUCGAGAGAGGUGAGUGGAAUUGCGAGUGUAGAGGUGAAAUUCGUAGAUAUUCGCAGGAACACCAGUGGCGAAGGCGGCUCACUGGCUCGAUACUGACGCUGAGGUGCGAAAGCGUGGGGAGCAAACAGGAUUAGAUACCCCAGUAGUCCCUGUCUCUUAUAC
RNAcentral lists this ribosomal RNA (301 nucleotides) under uncultured bacterium. Its description in RNAcentral is "partial 16S ribosomal RNA". It matches the Rfam family "Bacterial small subunit ribosomal RNA", at positions 509 to 807 of the family's 1533-position model. The record is from RNAcentral.